AAAAAUGAUUUCAUUAAUGACAAUCAUAUAGAUAUGUGAUAUGUCCGAGAAUGAAGAAAACGAAGAAUAGGCAUUGACAUAGAAGACAAUGAUAUGGAGUGACCAAAGAAAUAGCUUUGAAUCGAGUUACAAUCAUCCCGAAUUUUUACAGAAAGUGCACAUCCCAUCCGGAGAUUGAAAUAAGUGGUUUAGGGACAAAAUUGCUCGUUACUGGGAAUUGUUCAACAAGGAGGAGUUUGAAGAUGUUUUGUGAUUCUUUCUUUUCAUGUGUAAAUACCAUGUUGAUGAAUUUAUGAAGUGUUUACUCUAUAUUAUGGCAUUUAAGAAAUGAGAAGUUCUUAUACUA
Long non-coding RNA from Lycium ferocissimum, 346 nucleotides. RefSeq lists it as uncharacterized. The transcript is spliced from 2 exons. The record is from RefSeq and is a predicted model, not a curated record. NCBI's taxonomy places the organism in Eukaryota, Viridiplantae, Streptophyta, Magnoliopsida, Solanales, Solanaceae.